This 419-nucleotide ribosomal RNA is filed under the name bacterium. Its description in RNAcentral is "partial 16S ribosomal RNA". It matches the Rfam family "Bacterial small subunit ribosomal RNA", at positions 355 to 776 of the family's 1533-position model. The record is from RNAcentral.
UGGGGGAUAUUGCACAAUGGGCGAAAGCCUGAUGCAGCGACGCCGCGUGGGGGAUGAAGGCCUUCGGGUUGUAAACUUCUUUUGCUCUGAACAAGGCGCACCAUGGGGUGUGUUGAGUGUAGGGGUUGAUUAGCGCCGGCUAACUACGUGCCAGCAGCCGCGGUAAUACGUAGGGCGCGAGCGUUGUCCGGAAUUAUUGGGCGUAAAGGGCUUGUAGGUGGCUGGUUGCGUCUGUCGUGAAAGCUCAUGGCUUAACUGUGGGUGUGCGGUGGGUACGGGCUGGCUUGAGUGCAGUAGGUGAGGCUGGAAUUCCUGGUGUAGCGGUGGAAUGCGCAGAUAUCAGGAGGAAUACCGGUGGCGAAGGCGGGUCUCUGGGCUGUUACUGACACUGAGGAGCGAAAGCAUGGGGAGCGAACAGG